This 65-nucleotide transfer RNA is filed under the name Sthenias yunnanus. Its description in RNAcentral is "tRNA-Tyr". Lineage: Eukaryota; Metazoa; Arthropoda; Insecta; Coleoptera; Cerambycidae. The record is from RNAcentral.
GGUAAUAUGGCCGAGUUAUAGGCAGUAAAUUGUAAAUUUACCGACGAGAUUAUUUUCUUUUACCA